Molecule: ribosomal RNA, 492 nt
Filed under: uncultured bacterium
Lineage: Bacteria
Description: partial 16S ribosomal RNA
Rfam family: Bacterial small subunit ribosomal RNA
Source: RNAcentral
AGUGAACGCUGGCGGCAGGCCUAACACAUGCAAGUCGAACGGCAGCACAGUAAGAGCUCGCCCUUACCGGUGGCGACUGGCGGGCGGGUGACGCGUACAUCGGCAUCUACUUAUUCGGGGAGGACAACGUAGAGCCACUUACGCUAAUACCUCAUACAACGUACCGGUGGACGCAGCGGUUCUUGGCGCCUUGCCCGAUUGAUUUAGCCGAUGCCGGAUUAGCUAGUUGGCGGGGUAACGGCCCACCAAGGCAACGCUCCGUAGCCGGCCUGAGAGGAUGAUCGGCCACACUGGAACUGAGACACGGUCCAGACUCCUACGGGAGGCAGCAGUGGGGAAUAUUGCACAAUGGGCGAAAGCCUGACGGAGCAACACCGCGUGAGUGAUGAAGGCCUUCGGAUCGUAAAGCUCUGUUAUUAGGAAAGAACAGAUGUGGAUUAAACCGCGCACGUCUUGACGGUACCUAAUCAGAAAGCCACGGCUAACUACGUG